Molecule: ribosomal RNA, 537 nt
Filed under: uncultured beta proteobacterium
Lineage: Bacteria; Pseudomonadati; Pseudomonadota; Betaproteobacteria
Description: bacterial SSU rRNA
Rfam family: Bacterial small subunit ribosomal RNA
Source: RNAcentral
UACGGGAGGCAGCAGUGGGGAAUUUUGGACAAUGGGCGAAAGCCUGAUCCAGCCAUGCCGCGUGCAGGAUGAAGGCCUUCGGGUUGUAAACUGCUUUUGUACGGAACGAAAAGCCUCUUUUUAAUACAGAGGGGUCAUGACGGUACCGUAAGAAUAAGCACCGGCUAACUACGUGCCAGCAGCCGCGGUAAUACGUAGGGUGCAAGCGUUUAUCGGAAUUACUGGGCGUAAAGCGUGCGCGGGCGGUUUUGUAAGACAGAGGUGAAAUCCCCGGGCUCAACCUGGGAACUGCCUUUGUGACUGCAAGGCUGGAGUGCGGCAGAGGGGGAUGGAAUUCCGCGUGUAGCAGUGAAAUGCGUAGAUAUGCGGAGGAACACCGAUGGCGAAGGCAAUCCCCUGGGCCUGCACUGACGCUCAUGCACGAAAGCGUGGGGAGCAAACAGGAUUAGAUACCCUGGUAGUCCACGCCCUAAACGAUGUCAACUGGUUGUUGGGUAUUCACUGACUCAGUAACGAAGCUAACGCGUGAAGUUGACC